RNAcentral lists this ribosomal RNA (494 nucleotides) under uncultured bacterium. RNAcentral describes it as "partial 16S ribosomal RNA". It matches the Rfam family "Bacterial small subunit ribosomal RNA", at positions 28 to 507 of the family's 1533-position model. The record is from RNAcentral.
GACGAACGCUGGCGGCGUGCUUAACACAUGCAAGUCGAACGGUGAAGCGCCUUCCUUUUUGGUGGGUGUGGAUGAGUGGCGAACGGGUGAGUAACACGUGAGUAACCUGCCCCCUUCUUCUGGAUAACCGCAUGAAAGUGUGGCUAAUACGGGAUAUUCUGGGUCUGUCGCAUGAUGGGUCUGGGAAAGAUAUUGUUUCGGGGGGGGAUGGGCUCGCGGCCUAUCAGCUUGUUGGUGGGGUGAUGGCCUACCAAGGCGGUGACGGGUAGCCGGCCUGAGAGGGUAGACGGUCACACUGGGACUGAGACACGGCCCAGACUCCUACGGGAGGCAGCAGUGGGGAAUAUUGCACAAUGGGCGCAAGCCUGAUGCAGCGACGCCGCGUGAGGGAUGGAGGCCUUCGGGUUGUGAACCUCUUUCGCCAGUGAAGCAGGCCUGCCUCGUUUGUGGGUGGGUUGACGGUAGCUGGAUAAGAAGCGCCGGCUAACUACGUG